This is a non-coding RNA of Caenorhabditis brenneri, 67 nucleotides long. The record is from Rfam. Lineage: Eukaryota; Metazoa; Nematoda; Chromadorea; Rhabditida; Rhabditidae.
GCGCGGUGAUGCUCUUGGAUAAGUUUCGGCUGAAUCCACUUGAUGUCAACUUAUGCUUACUGAGCGC